Molecule: ribosomal RNA, 253 nt
Filed under: uncultured bacterium
Lineage: Bacteria
Description: partial 16S ribosomal RNA
Rfam family: Bacterial small subunit ribosomal RNA
Source: RNAcentral
UACGUAGGGUGCAAGCGUUGUUCGGAAUUACUGGGCGUAAAGCGCGCGUAGGCGGGUUGGAAAGUCGAUUGUGAAAGCCCUAGGCUUAACCUGGGAAUUGCAGUCGAAACUCCCAAUCUUGAGUGCCUGAGAGGAUGGCGGAAUUCCCGGUGUAGUAGUGAAAUACGUAGAUAUCGGGAGGAACACCGGUGGCGAAGGCGGUUCUCUGGGCCUUACCUGACGCUGAGGAGCGAAAGCGUGGGGAGCGAACAGG